Small nucleolar RNA from Esox lucius (northern pike), 66 nucleotides. Ensembl annotates it as small nucleolar RNA SNORD49. The record is from Ensembl. Lineage: Eukaryota; Metazoa; Chordata; Actinopteri; Esociformes; Esocidae.
GGAUUUGAUGAUAACUAUAUAGGAAGUGCCGUCUUAUGCGAAACUGACGAAGAUUCCUAACUGUUA